GCCGGCUUAGCUCAGUGGUAGAGCAGCGCUUUUGUAAAGCGAAGGUCAUCGGUUCAAAUCCGUUAGCCGGCA
RNAcentral lists this transfer RNA (72 nucleotides) under Prochlorococcus sp. RNAcentral's name for it is "tRNA-Thr". It matches the Rfam family "tRNA". Rfam says of the family: Transfer RNA (tRNA) molecules are approximately 80 nucleotides in length. Their secondary structure includes four short double-helical elements and three loops (D, anti-codon, and T loops). Further hydrogen bonds mediate the characteristic L-shaped molecular structure. tRNAs have two regions of fundamental functional importance: the anti-codon, which is responsible for specific mRNA codon recognition, and the 3' end, to which the tRNAs corresponding amino acid is attached (by aminoacyl-tRNA synthetases). tRNAs cope with the degeneracy of the genetic code in two manners: having more than one tRNA (with a specific anti-codon) for a particular amino acid; and 'wobble' base-pairing, i.e. permitting non-standard base-pairing at the 3rd anti-codon position. Lineage: Bacteria; Bacillati; Cyanobacteriota; Cyanophyceae; Synechococcales; Prochlorococcaceae. RNAcentral also lists the same sequence under 6 other names. The record is from RNAcentral.